GACCCACUUCCUUUCUUUUCCUUGACUUACUGAAUAGGAAGAAGAUGUUGUGACUGGCCCCUGCAUCUCUGAGUCAGUGAGUGACCUGCAACCCUUAGCACAAGAACUUUUGUUUGUGUCUCUGGAAGUUGGACAGCCUGGGACAGUCUACUGAAGGC
This 158-nucleotide long non-coding RNA is filed under the name Phascolarctos cinereus (koala). Its description in RNAcentral is "lncRNA (ENSPCIG00000026306.2)". The record is from RNAcentral. Lineage: Eukaryota; Metazoa; Chordata; Mammalia; Diprotodontia; Phascolarctidae.